RNAcentral lists this ribosomal RNA (494 nucleotides) under uncultured bacterium. RNAcentral's name for it is "partial 16S ribosomal RNA". It matches the Rfam family "Bacterial small subunit ribosomal RNA", at positions 28 to 507 of the family's 1533-position model. The record is from RNAcentral.
GACGAACGCUGGCGGCGUGCUUAACACAUGCAAGUCGAACGGAAAGGCCUGCUUUCCCUUGUGGAUUGCGGGUACUCGAGUGGCGAACGGGUGAGUAACACGUGAGUGAUCUGCCCCCAACUUGGGUAUAAGCCUGGGAAACUGGGUCUAAUUCCCGAUAGGACUGCAGGGUGGUGCCUGUGGUGGAAAACGAUUUUCUAGUGGUUGGGGGUGAGCUCGCGGCCUAUCAGCUUGUUGGCGGGGUAAUGGCCUACCAAGGCGGCGACGGGUAGCCGGCCUGAGAGGGUGGACGGCCACAUUGGGACUGAGAUACGGCCCAGACUCCUACGGGAGGCAGCAGUGGGGAAUAUUGCACAAUGGGCGGAAGCCUGAUGCAGCGACGCCGCGUGGGGGAUGACGGCCUUCGGGUUGUAAACUCCUUUCGACCGCGAGGAAGCCACCUGGUUGGAAGGGUGGUGACGGUAGUGGUAGAAGAAGCACCGGCUAACUACGUG